UGGGGAAUAUUGCGCAAUGGGGGAAACCCUGACGCAGCCAUGCCGCGUGAGUGAAGAAGGUCUUCGGAUCGUAAAGCUCUUUCAACGGUGAAGAUGAUGACGGUAGCCGUAGAAGAAGCCCCGGCUAACUUCGUGCCAGCAGCCGCGGUAAUACGAAGGGGGCAAGCGUUGUUCGGAAUUACUGGGCGUAAAGGGCGUGUAGGCGGUCUAAUCAGUCAGUGGUGAAAGCCCUGGGCUCAACCCAGGAAUUGCCUUUGAUACUGUUAGACUAGAGUUCGGGAGAGGAUAGUGGAAUUCCCAGUGUAGAGGUGAAAUUCGUAGAUAUUGGGAAGAACACCAGUGGCGAAGGCGGCUAUCUGGACCGAUACUGACGCUGAGGCGCGAAAGCGUGGGGAGCAAACAGGAUUAGAUACCCUGGUAGUCCACGCCGUAAACGAUGUCUGCUAGUCGUUGGGGGGCGUAGCCCUUCAGUGACGCCGCUAACGCAUUAAGCAGACCGCCUGGGGAGUACGGCCGCAAGGUU
This 523-nucleotide ribosomal RNA is filed under the name uncultured bacterium. RNAcentral describes it as "bacterial SSU rRNA". It matches the Rfam family "Bacterial small subunit ribosomal RNA", at positions 355 to 895 of the family's 1533-position model. The record is from RNAcentral.